Molecule: ribosomal RNA, 475 nt
Filed under: uncultured bacterium
Lineage: Bacteria
Description: bacterial SSU rRNA
Rfam family: Bacterial small subunit ribosomal RNA
Source: RNAcentral
CAGGCCUUAGACAUGCAAGUCGAACGGUAACAGCGGAGCUUGCUCCGGCUGACGAGUGGCGGACGGGUGAGUAACGCGUAGGAAUCUACCCAGUAGCCGGGGGAUAGCCCGGGGAAACCCGGAUUAAUACCGCAUACGCCCCAUGGGGGGAAAGAGGGCCUCUUCUUGAAAGCUCUCACUAUUGGAGGAGCCUGCGUUGGAUUAGCUAGUUGGUGGGGUUAAAGGCUCACCAAGGCUACGAUCCAUAGCUGGUCUGAGAGGACGAUCAGCCACACUGGAACUGAGACACGGUCCAGACUCCUACGGGAGGCAGCAGUCAGGAAUAUUGUGCAAUGGGGGAAACCCUGACACAGCCAUGCCGCGUGUGUGAAGAAGGCCCUAGGGUUGUAAAGCACUUUCAGUAGGGAGGAACUAGCAGGGCUAAUACCUCUGUGAAAUGACGUUACCUACAGAAGAAGAUCCGGCUAACUCCGUG